RNAcentral lists this ribosomal RNA (499 nucleotides) under uncultured bacterium. RNAcentral describes it as "partial 16S ribosomal RNA". It matches the Rfam family "Bacterial small subunit ribosomal RNA", at positions 28 to 507 of the family's 1533-position model. The record is from RNAcentral.
GACGAACGCUGGCGGCGUGCUUAACACAUGCAAGUCGAACGGGCCCGCCCCUGUUUUUGGGGGUGGGUUGAGUGGCGAACGGGUGAGUAUCACGUGAGUAACCUGCCCCCUGCUCCUGGAUAACUGCUUGAAAGGGCGGCUAAUACGGGGUGUGCCGGCUGGUCCGCAUGGGCCUGGUCGGGAUAGUUUCAUCUUCGGGUGUUUCGGUGGGGGAUGGGCUCGCGGCCUAUCAGCUUGUUGGUGGGGUGAUGGCCCACCAAGGCGGUGACGGGUAGCCGGCCUGAGAGGGUGGGCGGCCAGACUGGGACUGAGACACGGCCCAGACUCCGGCGGGAGGCAGCAGUGGGGGGUAUUGCACAAUGGGCGGAAGCCUGAUGCAGCGACGUCGCGUGAGGGAUGGGGGCCUUCGGGUUGUGAACCUCUUUCUCCGGUGGUGAAGGCCCUGUCCGUUGCGGCGGGGUUGACGGUAGCCGGGUAUGAAGCGCCGGCUAACUACGUG